GAUGAACGCUAGCGGCAGGCUUAAUACAUGCAAGUCGAACGGUAAGGUCUCUUCGGAGAUACACGAGUGGCGCACGGGUGCGUAACGCGUAUGCAACCUACCUUUAACUGGGAAAUAGCCCCGAGAAAUCGGGAUUAAUGUCCCAUAUUAUUCUGAGAAUGCAUAUUCUUAGAAUGAAAGCUCCGGCGGUUAUUGAUGGGCAUGCGUGACAUUAGCUAGUUGGUGAGGUAACGGCUCACCAAGGCAACGAUGUCUAGGGGUCCUGAGAGGGUGAUCGGCCACACUGGGACUGAGACACGGCCCAGACUCCUACGGGAGGCAG
This 322-nucleotide ribosomal RNA is filed under the name uncultured Bacteroidota bacterium. Its description in RNAcentral is "bacterial SSU rRNA". It matches the Rfam family "Bacterial small subunit ribosomal RNA", at positions 28 to 351 of the family's 1533-position model. The record is from RNAcentral. Lineage: Bacteria; Pseudomonadati; Bacteroidota.